Molecule: ribosomal RNA, 506 nt
Filed under: uncultured bacterium
Lineage: Bacteria
Description: bacterial SSU rRNA
Rfam family: Bacterial small subunit ribosomal RNA
Source: RNAcentral
AACGAACGUUGGCGGCGUGGAUUAGGCAUGCAAGUCGAACGAGAAAGGGGGCUUCGGCCCCUGAGUAGAGUGGCGAACGGGUGAGUAACGCGUGGGGAACCUGCCCUGGAGCGGGGAAUAACACUCCCAACGGAGUGCUAAUACCGCAUGAAAUCGUCGGGUGGCAUCAUCUGGCGAUCAAAGAUGGGGACCGAAAGGCCUGUCACUUCAGGAUGGCCCCGCGUCCGAUUAGCUUGUUGGUAGGGUAACGGCCUACCAAGGCGACGAUCGGUAGCUGGUCUGAGAGGAUGGUCAGCCACACUGGGACUGAGAUACGGCCCAGACUCCUACGGGAGGCAGCAGUCGAGAGGCUUCGGCAAUGGGCGAAAGCCUGACCGAGCGACGCCGCGUGAGCGAUGAAGCCCUUCGGGGUGUAAAGCUCUUUUGUGAGGGAAGAAACGCAGCGACCUAAUACGUCGUUGUCUGGCGGUACUUCACGAAUAAGCUCCGGCUAACUCCGUGCCAGC